UUGACCUCAAAUCAGGUAGGACUACCCGCUGAACUUAAGCAUAUCAAUAAGCGGAGGAAAAGAAACUAACAAGGAUUCCCCUAGUAACUGCGAGUGAAGCGGGAAAAGCUCAAAUUUAAAAUCUGGCGGUCUUGCGGCCGUCCGAGUUGUAAUCUGGAGAAGCGUUUAUCCGCGUCGGACCGUGUACAAGUCUUCUGGAAGGGAGCGCCGUAGAGGGUGAGAAUCCGUCUUUGACACGGACACCGGUGCUUUUGUGAUGCGCUCUCGAGAGUCGAGUGUUUGGGAAUGCAGCUCAAAUGGGUGGUAAA
Molecule: ribosomal RNA, 308 nt
Filed under: uncultured Piloderma
Lineage: Eukaryota; Fungi; Basidiomycota; Agaricomycetes; Atheliales; Atheliaceae
Description: eukaryotic LSU rRNA
Rfam family: Eukaryotic large subunit ribosomal RNA
Source: RNAcentral